This 253-nucleotide ribosomal RNA is filed under the name uncultured bacterium. Its description in RNAcentral is "partial 16S ribosomal RNA". It matches the Rfam family "Bacterial small subunit ribosomal RNA", at positions 335 to 604 of the family's 1533-position model. The record is from RNAcentral.
CGCCCUACGGGACGCAGCAGUGGGGAAUAUUGCACAAUGGGGGAAACCCUGAUGCAGCGACGCCGCGUGAGUGAAGAAGUAUUUCGGUAUGUAAAGCUCUAUCAGCAGGGAAGAAGCAAGACGGUACCUGACUAAGAAGCCCCGGCUAACUACGUGCCAGCAGCCGCGGUAAUACGUAGGGGGCAAGCGUUAUCCGGAUUUACUGGGUGUAAAGGGAGCGUAGACGGUAUGGCAAGUCUGAAGUGAAAGCCCA